AGUGAACGCUGGCGGCAGGCCUGAUACAUGCAAGUCGAGCGGCAGCGCGGGGGCAUCCCUGGAGGCGAGCGGCGGACGGGUGAGUAAUUAGCCGGAAGCUGCCCUUCUGUGGGGGAUAACGUAAGGAAACGUACGCUAAUACCGCAUCCGACCAACGGGUGAAACAGGGGGACCGAAAGGCAACACGCAGAAAGAUGAGCCGACGACCGAUUAGCUAGUUGGUGGGGUAAAGGGCCACCAAGGCGACGAUCGGUAGCUGGUCUGAGAGGAUGACCAGCCACACUGGAACUGGGACACGGCCCAGCCUCCUACGGGAGGCAGCAGUGGGGAAUAUUGGCCAAUGGGCGCAAGCCUGAUCCAGCCAUGCCGCGUGUGUGAAGAAGGCCUUCGGGUUGUAAAGCACUUUUGUCGGGAAAGAAGUCCCUGGAGCUAAAACCUUCAGCGAGUGACGGUACCGAAAGAGUAAGCACCGGCUAACUUCGUG
This 484-nucleotide ribosomal RNA is filed under the name uncultured bacterium. RNAcentral's name for it is "partial 16S ribosomal RNA". It matches the Rfam family "Bacterial small subunit ribosomal RNA", at positions 30 to 507 of the family's 1533-position model. The record is from RNAcentral.